UACGUAGGGUGCGAGCGUUGUCCGGAUUUAUUGGGCGUAAAGAGCUCGUAGGCGGUUUGUCGCGUCGGCCGUGAAAUCUCCACGCUUAACGUGGAGCGUGCGGUCGAUACGGGCAGGCUCGAGUUCGGUAGGGGAGACUGGAAUUCCUGGUGUAGCGGUGAAAUGCGCAGAUAUCAGGAGGAACACCGGUGGCGAAGGCGGGUCUCUGGCAGUAACUGACGCUGAGGAGCGAAAGCGUGGGAGCGAACAGG
Molecule: ribosomal RNA, 251 nt
Filed under: uncultured bacterium
Lineage: Bacteria
Description: partial 16S ribosomal RNA
Rfam family: Bacterial small subunit ribosomal RNA
Source: RNAcentral